GUGAGGAAUUUUCCGCAAUGGGCGAAAGCCUGACGGAGCAAUGCCGCGUGAAGGAUGAAGGCCUAUGGGUUGUAAACUUCUUUUCUUAGAGAAGAAUAUUGACGGUAUCUGAGGAAUAAGCAUCGGCUAACUCUGUGCCAGCAGCCGCGGUAAGACAGAGGAUGCAAGCGUUAUCCGGAAUGAUUGGGCGUAAAGCGUCUGUAGGUGGCUUCAAAAGUCUCCUGUCAAAGAUCAGGGCUUAACCCGGGGCCGGCAGGAGAAACUCUGAGGCUAGAGUUUGGUAGGGGCAGAGGGAAUUCCCAGUGGAGCGGUGAAAUGCGUAGAGAUCGGGAGGAACACCAAAGGCGAAAGCACUCUGCUGGGCCACAACUGACACUGAGAGACGAAAGCGAGGGGAGCAAAAGGGAUUAGAAACCCUUGUAGUCC
Molecule: ribosomal RNA, 426 nt
Filed under: uncultured bacterium
Lineage: Bacteria
Description: partial 16S ribosomal RNA
Rfam family: Bacterial small subunit ribosomal RNA
Source: RNAcentral